AUUCCUUUAGUCCACAAAGGCAUCACGCGGCAUCACGUCAACCAUUUGGAGAUCGUCUGUUUAUUCGGAGAAAGUAGUCGUUAUACACUUAUACAGCAUUGUGUUCAAUUUUUCUUUUACAUGUUUUUGUGAAAACAACUCCUAAAAUGACGCGUUGAAACUCUUCUUUUCGAAAAUAACAAACAAACAAAACAAGUAGUUGCAUCAUAGGUAUGUUGGGUCGUUGCCACUUAUGUCUCGCACUCUCAAUAAGGUGGUUGGUUUUGAGUACCUGCGGACUUUAAUAAUUCAUGGGCAUUCUUUUUUAUAGUCCACACACUGACACGGUGCGCGGUACCUCAUGGUACCCACAAAGUUUGAGAAUUUUUUUUUUUUAUAUUGUAAACUUGUUGAAUUAAUGAGUCAUUCAACAUGAAUGGAUGGAGACGGACGUUUAAGGAAGUCGACCUCGCUUUCGUUAUAGUCGGUGAAAUAAAUAAGCGAAAGUCGUGAGCUGGUGUGUUGCGGGAAAACAGAUUCAAUUAUUUCGUGCGUACAAUAUUUUAAACUCAAAGUCGAUAGUCAUACUGGUGUUACGAAAUCACAAUUAUCCGCAAAUUUUGCUCGAAUUGAAGAAGGAUCAAGUGGUCUCCAGCCUACCGGGAAAUGCUGUUAGGUUGUUGAGUUAACUCUUUCACCAUGGGCCUUUUAUUUGUUCUUUUCAUUGCAGAACUUAGAUUGAAGCCUACUAGACGGCAUAACUAACAUUCUUUACAGUACAAAAGCACGUCGAGGAACCAGGAUGUUCUUCUGUUAUGUCAAUUCUGUCUAGAACCCUGGACGGCCACUGUUGAAAAACUGAAAUUAGAUUCACGUAAGAUCUUGAAGCUGAUUAUGUGCUGCUUUGCGGCCGCCAAUGCAACGGACAAUAAAGAGCGCCCAUCAAAAUUAAUUCAUGGCUAAUUCUCUCGAUGCUCACAGAUUCAAAAAUGUGGAGGGAACACGAAUCCUUUUGCGGAGGCGAGCAUCAGUCACCCAUCAACAUUGACUCGUCAAAAGCCGGUGUAACAAAUUAUCCCAAAUUCUGUUUCCACAACUACGAUCUGGUUUUCCCCGAAAGAUUGGAGAAAAACGGGCACACCGUGGAAUUGAAAAUUGAGGAACAAGGUCUGCACGCGGAAUUGCCUUUUAUUACCGGCGGUGGACUCACCGACCGUUACAAUUUUGUGCAACUCCACUUUCAUUGGGGUAGACAAUUAUUUGGCAGCGAGCAUACUAUCGAUAGGAAAGAAUAUGCUGGCGAACUGCACAUCGUCCACUACAACACCAAAUACGGAAAUUUUAUCGACGCUAUCCCUCAAGAAGACGGAUUGGCUGCCUUGGGAAUUCUUAUAAAAUUGACAGAUAGAGACAACCUUGCGUUCCGACAUCUCGAACAAUUCGAAAAUAUCAUCGAUCCUAGCCCAGUCAACAGCGACGUCCUGCACUUCUCUGUUCCACUAGUGGCUCUUCUUCCGCACGAUACCGACAGUUUCUACCGAUACAACGGAUCGUUGACGAGUGGCGACUGCAACGAAGACGUCAUCUGGACGGUUUUUGAUACUCCCAUCGCCAUUUCAGAACGCCAGAAAAGGAAACACAAAAAAAAAGGGUUGAAACAAAUUUGGAGCCCUUUUUUUUACCUUCCUAUGUGAAAUGGCACACGCACGAGAAAGGGUUCGACCGCCCUUUUAGGCAGCAGGCGCUAAUGGUUUUUUUCGAUCGAUAACCCGGCAGGUGAUCUCCAGUCAUGGUCAGCCUCCCAGGAAAUAAAUCCGCCUGGGUUUCCUCCUUUCACUAGCAGAUAGAAACA
RNAcentral lists this unclassified non-coding RNA (1831 nucleotides) under Daphnia pulicaria. RNAcentral's name for it is "carbonic anhydrase 15-like, transcript variant X2". Lineage: Eukaryota; Metazoa; Arthropoda; Branchiopoda; Diplostraca; Daphniidae. The record is from RNAcentral.